UACGAAGGGGGCAAGCGUUGUUCGGAAUUACUGGGCGUAAAGGGCGCGUAGGCGGCUUAUCAAGUCAGGCGUGAAAUUCCCGGGCUCAACCUGGGGGCUGCGCUUGAUACUGAUGAGCUUGAAUGCGGGAGAGGAUAGUGGAAUUCCCAGUGUAGAGGUGAAAUUCGUAGAUAUUGGGAAGAACACCGGUGGCGAAGGCGGCCCGCUGGGCAGGAAGACCCCGUGAGGGGUCGGCUGACGCUGAGGCGCGACAGCGUGGGGAGCAAACAGG
This 271-nucleotide ribosomal RNA is filed under the name uncultured prokaryote. RNAcentral's name for it is "partial 16S ribosomal RNA". It matches the Rfam family "Bacterial small subunit ribosomal RNA", at positions 524 to 776 of the family's 1533-position model. The record is from RNAcentral.